Molecule: RNA transcript, 1590 nt
Organism: Cercocebus atys (sooty mangabey)
Lineage: Eukaryota; Metazoa; Chordata; Mammalia; Primates; Cercopithecidae
Gene name: 40S ribosomal protein S25 pseudogene
Exons: 1
Source: RefSeq, a predicted model, not a curated record
CUGGUCCUUUCUCCUGAUCUUCUGGAAGUUUCUUUCUGAAUCUAGAAAAACUCUCCUCACCAGAGAGGAAUGAUGUAAGCAGGCUUAAUUAAAUGCCUGCUAUGUAUAAUGAAGCAUAUUGUUAGGUGCAGCAUGGGACAUAGAAGUUCAAAGCCUAUAGCUCUUGGGGAUAUUUUUAUUUAGUUGGAAAGACAAGACAGAAACAUUCAAAGUAAAGUAAAUUUAUUCCUUAUAUUUAGGUAGCCCUUGCUUAUCUACCUCUUCUGAAACUUUGCAAUAAUUCUGUGAUGUUGGUAGAAAGGGAAUGUGAUGUUAGGUAAGAAGUCAGAUGGUCGGCACAUCCAUCCCACAGCCACACUGCUGAUAUUAAGGGAUUUGUUAAUGUCAUAUGGCUCCUAAAGAGCUAGGAUAUGCAUCCAUAUCUUCCAGCUCCAAGUCCAAGUUUUUUUUCUUUUUAAAAAAUAUUGUGUCACAUUAUACCCUCUAAUGCCAAGUUAAUUUAAAAUAAAGAAAAAGCCAUAUAAGAUUGCAGAAGGAAUUUUUGUGGUUGUGGUAGUUAAGAGGGAAGAAGUCAUUUGAAAGAGUUUGGGGAGUCUUCAGUGAAGAAGGAUAAUGUAGCAGUACCUUGAAAGAUGAGCAGGACUUAUCUGGGCAGACAAAGAGGAUGAGCAAUCCAAGAGAGGGGAUGAGAGGGAGAAAAACACAGUAUGUUCAAAGAAUAAGGAUUAGACCAGUGUCCUCAGGCGAUGUGAAAUCUAGAUUGUUUCAGUCCAAUUGAAUGCGUCAUCUAAAUUUCCCAGGUGUGGGAAUCAGUGUUUAGGUUAGAGGGACCACACAGUUGGUUCCUUCUUUUACUUCAUGCUCUUGCACAGAAUCCACUGUGUAGAAUUAGGGAGACAUAACUUCAGAUACCUGACUGGUGGAAUUAAAGGUGGUAGUUUUAGGCUGGGUUGUGUUUCAUGGACUACCCUGUGUGCUUUCUACAGGCAGUGUGUUGCUUGUUUUGGAUAGUUGGGAGCAGCUUCUCUCACCUUAAGGAACUGUGAGUAGAUGGUGUGCGGGACCAUAUACACACACAAAAUAGCCAACUAAAGAAAGCGGUGGAGCUUUUUGUCCGACAUCUUAGCAAGCCUGUGGUGUCCGCUGCUGCUCUCCGAGCUUCGCAAUGCCGCCCAAGGACGACAAGAAGAAGGACGCCGGAAAGUCGGCCAAGAAAGACAAAGACCCGGUGAACAAAUCCGGGGGCAAGGCCAAAAAGAAGAAGCGGUCCAAAGGCAAAGUUCGGGACAAGCUCAUUAACUUAGUCUUGUUUGACAAAGCUGCCUACGACAAACUCUGUAAGGAAGUUCCCAACUAUAAACUUACAACCCCAGCUGUGGUCUCUGAGAGACUGAAGAUUCGAGGCUCCCUGGCCAGGGCAGCCCUUCAGGAGCUCCUUAGUAAAGGACUUAUCAAACUGGUUUCAAAGCACAGAGCUCAAGUAAUUUACACCGGAAAUACCAAGGGUGGACAUGCUCCAGCUGCUGGUGAAGAUGCAUGAAUAGGUCCAACCAACUGUACAUUGGGAAAAAUAAAACUUCAUUAAAUAAA